CCUAGGACUAUCUGCUUCCUGUUCUUGCAGAAUCAUUGCUCCUGGCCUCUUGGGAGACAGAGCAGGCUAUGGUGUGUGUCUGUGUGUGUGUCUGUGUGUGUGGUAUUAGCCAGCUCAGGCCACCUUAACAAAAUACCACAGACUGUGGCUUAAAAACAAAAAACUGAUUUCCUCACAGGCCCGGAGGCGGAAGCCCACAGUGCCAGCAGCUGCUUCCUGGUGAGACCUCUCUCCUUGACUUGCAGAUGGCCACUUUCCUCAGGACGAGGAAGCAGAUUUGAAGAAGCAUCUCUAAGGAACAACUUUCAAAAACUCACUGAACAGUUGCCCUGGGAGGGAGCUGCUGCUGUCACCACCACUGUCGCCAUCACCAGGAAAGCCACCCAUUCAGGAGCUGCCACCACCUCUGCCCAGUGUUCUUGAAGCUGGGGACUGACACAGCACCCAGGCCCAGCUGUCACAUGAGGUCUCAAUACUGCAUCUCUCUGCAUCCAGAGGAUCCUGGGGUUGCACCUUCUGCCUUCUGAGUCUCCUGGGGGUGCCUCUGCCCAGCAGGAGCUUACAAUGCUCUACUGCUGCCGCGGACACAAGGAGUCAGCCGUACUUGGCCGUAGACCUUUGUUCAUGAGUUGUAGACUCUCUCCUACAGCAUCUGAAGGGAGAGAGUAGGAAGGACGAGUGUGCCAGCAUCGGACAGGGAGGGGAAGACAUCUCUGAAGAGAAGGAUGCAGCCAGGAGGAUGCCGGGAACACGGGGGAGGAGCACUUCUGCUUCUUGGGUAUGUCAAGGUGCCAUUUCCGGUUUAUUUGUAAAGGGAAUCUAGACGGAUGACUGUCCCCCAGGGAUUCAGUGAACUCAGCUGAUUCUCAGGUACUCUGAUUCUGGUGCGAGCCGCCCCAGCCUUCACACACGCCAUGAGCAUCACAGUGGCCUCCACCCUGGUCAGAUUGCUGCUCAUGGGAAAAGCAAACUAGAGAAGUAGUGACAAGCAGCAGUGGCAGCUACAGAAGCAUCUGGAAUCUGCAGCGCCUGCAGUGCACAGGCGGUUUACUUUGAUUCUGUCAUUCUGCUUCUCCGUUGCAGCAGGGAGGCUGUCCCCAUUUCCAGGUGGUCCUGGUUGUCAAUUCCUGGCCUGGCCAUGUGGCGCUGGUUCCCUCUUCUUCCUGCCUGUCUCCCGCUCUGUUUAUCCUAGGAGUGGCCAGGACCUGGGCCCUCCCGUUCUGGGGCCCUCCUUAGUCCCAGCCAAGGACAGCAGCUGAGUAGACGUAUGGGAAGAGGAUUUCUAGCUGGCUGGAAGCCUCUUCCUGUACUGAAGUCCAGAGCCGGGAAUGUGGCUGAUGCAGAGAUGCGGGAGUCGGUGGCACGCGAACCGCCCCGGUCCUGUCCGCAUUGGCCCUUACAGGCUGCGUGACCUCAGGCAAGCCCUUCAUGUCCCUAGGCCGAGGUUUCCUCAUUCUAAAACCAGGAUAAUCACACCCAUCGCAUAAGGUUAUGGAGAGGUGCAUAGCAGGUGCUCAGUGUGGGGUCGAUUCCUACCAGGUGCAAACUAGCAAAACGUCGUUGGGAACCUGUGGGCACGGGAUGGGGGUGAUGGGUGGGGGACGGUUGCUCUAGGUGCGGCCAGGCAUGGGCCCUGCAGGAAAGGGUGCAUUCUCAGCCCGCACGUCUAUCUUGGGGGCUCCUCUGUGUGGGCAGUGCCAGGCGGAGGGAUCUGCAGAGCGCACCCACUGCAAAUCUCUCGGGCCCAUAACAGGCAUCUCUGUCUGGAAGAACUCUGCCCGCUUCCUGUCUACACGGUUACAUGGGACACGGCCUGUCACAAGAGCCUGCUCUACUCAGGUCAUGUGAGGAGAGCAGGCAGCUGCCUGGCUGAAGCUGGCCACACACUGCCUUCUGGGCGACUUGGACUUGAACAUUGACUGGUUCCAUCACCGCCCUGGCUCUUAAAACAGGGAGCCGCCAACUUAGAGGCACUGGUCGCGGCCCUUCCCCUUGCCACCUCCCCCACCCCCAUUUUCCUGGGAUAUUCCCAGACCUAUGGGAAGGUUGCAAAAACAGCACAAGGGACACCCCCAGACCCUCUUUAUUUAAGUCUGUCCGCUGUUAACAUUUUCACCCACAUUUGCUUUAUCUGUCUCUAUUUACAUGGCACAUACAUUUUUUAUUAUUGACAAACCAUUUGCAAGUAUUAGUUACGGGCAUCAUGACCCGCUACCCCCCAACACUUCAACAUAGACCUCUCAAGAACAAGGGCAUUAUUCUGCAUCACAUUGAUGUAAUUGUCACCCUCUGAAAAUUGAACAUCGAUAUAUUGUUAUUAUCUAAUGCCUCGUUCAUAUUGUCUGCUAUUUAGUCCAUUAUCCAAUAUUUAGUCUGCAAAGUCUGUUUUAGAGCUGCUUUUGCUCUGACAUGGGAGCUGGUAUCCCCGCCCCCACCCCUUGCUCCGCAUGGCCUUGAACCUGGAUCAUGUCCUCAGCCCUCCUUUGUCUUUUCCGACACUGACAUUUUGGAGAAUCGAGGCCGGCUCUUUGGCAGAAUGUCCCUCGGUGCAGGAGUGCCUGGUGUUUCUCCACGGUCACGCUCAGGUUAUGCGAGGCGGGCAGGAGUGCUCCUCCCCAGGUCCCCUGAGGAGGCUCAUGAUGUCAGCUGUCCCAGUGCUGGUGAGGUCAUGUUUAAUAAGAAUAUGGUUAAGGAGAUAUCUUUCACUCAGUGCUUUUAUUGAUUCUUGCCUGAACCAGUUAGUUAUAAAACGACGAUUUUCUGUUUUUAUCAUUUACUUUGUAUUCUUCAGUAGAGAAGAGUGUUUCUUCCUCUACUUAAAAAUUUAAACAAAUAUCAGUCUGAACUCAUGGAUUCUUUACUGUUAGUA
This is a long non-coding RNA of Pteropus alecto (black flying fox), 2869 nucleotides long. RefSeq lists it as uncharacterized. Lineage: Eukaryota; Metazoa; Chordata; Mammalia; Chiroptera; Pteropodidae. The transcript is spliced from 3 exons. The record is from RefSeq and is a predicted model, not a curated record.